Long non-coding RNA from Cyprinus carpio carpio, 532 nucleotides. Lineage: Eukaryota; Metazoa; Chordata; Actinopteri; Cypriniformes; Cyprinidae. The record is from Ensembl.
UUACAGAGGACGCUGAUUCUGGCUUUUCGCUGCAAGAACGGACAAAUCAUUCGUCUUGGCAGCUUUUUUUUGUAUGUCUAUAUUUUGUAUUGUCAAUAAAAACAGCAAGGGUCCAUAGAAAAAUACUGUUGGAAGUUUUUUUUUUUUCCACCAAGGCAGCUCAAGAAGGUUGGACGCACAAGUACAGUGGCUCUUUUGGCCCAAGGCCAAGCCAACAUCAAAGUUAGUUCACUAACUUUACAUUCUAGUUAUUAUUAUUCUUCUGAGACAGAAUUCCAAACGUAUCUCCUCCUAGGGCUUUUAAGCCACAAGCCCCAAACUCGGCAGACACCUGCGGGAUAUAGCGGUGCUGGUUGCUAUGUCUUUUCAGAGUGAUCAGACUUAAAGUUUUUUUUUAAUUAAUUUUUAAAUGUAAAAAUACAUUACCCAUAGACUUACAUUAUCUGAGAAAAAUUGCGCCCCUAGUUGCAAUACCCGUUGCAAUACCCGUUAGAGAUUAAGGGGAGGAGUCGGGUUUCGUUUCACUUUUAAA